RNAcentral lists this ribosomal RNA (253 nucleotides) under uncultured bacterium. RNAcentral describes it as "partial 16S ribosomal RNA". It matches the Rfam family "Bacterial small subunit ribosomal RNA", at positions 524 to 776 of the family's 1533-position model. The record is from RNAcentral.
UACGGAGGAGGCAAGCGUUAUCCGGAAUUAUUGGGCGUAAAGCGUCCGCAGGUGGCGAUUCAAGUCUGCGGUUAAAGACUGGGGCUUAACCCUGGAAAGGCCGUGGAAACUGAAACGCUAGAGUGCAGUAGGGGUAGAGGGAAUUCCCGGUGUAGCGGUGAAAUGCGUAGAGCUCGGGAAGAACAUCGGUGGCGAAAGCGCUCUGCUGGACUGCAACUGACACUCAGGGACGAAAGCGUGGGGAGCAAACAGG